UUGUUGUUUCCAAGGUACGCUUGUUUUCCAAGGAAGUGCCUCGGUGGCCGUCUCAUGGGGCAGAAAAAGAUCUGGGCUUCCUAAUCCGAUGUCAACCACAGCAGCUUCAAUUUAAAUUCAUGUCAUCAGCCUCCAGGAAGAGGCUAUUUGAUUGGAUGUGAUGGCACCAGAGGCAGAAAUGUGGCAAAAUUUUAAAUGGUGAGAAAUCCAUCUCAGCUACCUGGAUUUUGAGAAACAAAUUGUGAUUUCUCGACUCACUUUGAAUUGAACUGUGCAAGUUAGAUGAACUAAAAAAGCUUCAUUGACUUGUCUACUUGUCCGCUUGUCUCCAAGUCAGUCAAGUGUUUGUGAAUGCUGCCUGUUUUCUACCCUGUAUAAUUAUUCAAAUGAUUAACUUAAGGGUGAAUAUAAAGGUAUAUAAACAUAAGUAGAUGCCCUUGAAAUAACAAAGCCCUCAGACCUUACAUAAGCAGGCAUUUAGAAGGUGAAAAACAAAUCAGGUGUGUUGAUUGUUCCUAAAGAUUGUAACAGAAAGAUUCUAAGCACUUACCUGGGAAUAUACUGUGAAGAGAGCAUGUGGUCUAUUGAUCCAGGCAUCCCUAAUACCUGGCACAUAGUAGGUACUCAACAGAGUAAGUGCUUAACAUAGGAAGUGCUUGAUAAAUUUGUGUUGAAUCUAUAGUACUCUGUCUUUUAUUGCCUAGUCAUGAACUUGUCUCAACACACGUGCAUACACACACACAUAUUAGGUUGUGAGCUCUUAGAGGAGAAGGUCUGUCUUAUUCACCACUGUAUUCUCUAAUACAGAACCACCAAAUAAGUGGCAAUCAUUAAUGAUCAUCAAAUUGAAGUAAAUUCUAUGACUUGUUUUCUUUAUCUCGUUUCCCUCACCCUAUCUUGUCCAUUUGGCUCUCAAGCCAGAAUGCCUGAAAUGGCUGCAUUAAUCUAAUCAAAUAUGUAAAAGCCAAGACCUUGAAAUCUUUCAAAUCAAGCUCUGAAUUACAUUUUUAAAUUUACCCUGGCCAUUUCAUAAGUAGAUUUAGCAACUAGCUAACUGCUAUCCCAGGAGGGGAAAAAAAAACCCAUAAGCUUAAUGAAUUUGGUCAGACAUACAGUGUAACAGAUGUCCAACAUGCUGCCAUGAACUUAAAUCAUAGAUAUGAUGCCUCUGUUUGGCAUGGCAAAAUAUAUUAGAACUGUUUCAUCAGUCACUGGGCAACUUGCUAGAUGGAGGGGGAAUAAUCCUGAAAAAUGCAGGAGCUGCUUCUAAUAGCAUCUAAAAGGAUCCCUGGAGAAACACAGAUAAUCUGCUUGCAGUGAUUCAUC
This 1326-nucleotide long non-coding RNA is filed under the name Homo sapiens (human). RNAcentral's name for it is "HSALNT0009161". Lineage: Eukaryota; Metazoa; Chordata; Mammalia; Primates; Hominidae. The record is from RNAcentral.